GAUGAACGCUAGCUACAGGCUUAACACAUGCAAGUCGAGGGGUAACGAGAGGAAAGCUUGCUUUCCUUGUCGACGACCGGCGCACGGGUGAGUAACGCGUAUCCAACCUGCCCCCAACUAGGGAAUAACCUUGCGAAAGUAAGACUAAUACCCUAUAAUUUCCUCAGAUGUCAUCUGACGAGGAAUAAAGAUUUAUCGGUUGUGGAUGGGGAUGCGUCUGAUUAGCUUGUUGGCGGGGUAACGGCCCACCAAGGCAACGAUCAGUAGGGGUUCUGAGAGGAAGGUACCCCACAUUAGAACUGGGACACGGUCCAAACUCCUACGGGAGGCAGCAGUGAGGAAUAUUGGUCAAUGGGCGGAAGCCUGAACCAGCCAAGUAGCGUGCAGGAUGACGGCCCUAUGGGUUGUAAACUGCUUUUAUACAGGAAUAAAGUUAGCCACGUGUGGUUAUUUGUAGGUACUGUAUGAAUAAGGACCGGCUAAUUCCGUGCCAGCCGCCGCCGUAA
This 506-nucleotide ribosomal RNA is filed under the name uncultured bacterium. RNAcentral describes it as "partial 16S ribosomal RNA". It matches the Rfam family "Bacterial small subunit ribosomal RNA", at positions 28 to 523 of the family's 1533-position model. The record is from RNAcentral.